This 1488-nucleotide ribosomal RNA is filed under the name Triticum aestivum (bread wheat). RNAcentral's name for it is "partial small subunit ribosomal RNA". Lineage: Eukaryota; Viridiplantae; Streptophyta; Magnoliopsida; Poales; Poaceae. The record is from RNAcentral.
AUGGCGCUAUGGCUCACGCUGCUCCUCGGCGUUGCCCUCCCCGCCGCGGCGCUGGUCGCGGCCGCGUGCUACGCUUACCGCCGCCGGCACAUGCCGCGUAACGCGCCGCCGGAGCUGCCGGUCGGUGCUCGUGAGGUCGGCGGCGCAGACCCCUCGGCGAGCCCCGGGCUGGCGAAGCUCAACGCCAAGUACACCGCCAGCAGCGGCCGCGUGGGCGUCCGGUUCCAGCAGUUGCACCACCACCACCAUGUCCGCGCCGAUACCAGGCACCGGGGACCGGGCGGUGGCGCGCUGCAGCAGGGCCCGUUCCAGUGGGGCGAUCACCCGCGGCUGGUGAUCGAGGCGGCGGAGCACGGGUGGGCGCAGUUCGUGUUCGCCGUGGCGCCGCCGAAGGCGAGGUCGGCGUCGUCGUCGCCGCUGUGGGGGCUCUGCCCGGUCUGCGACGCCGGGACCAGCCGCGACAUGGCUGAGGCCGCAUGGGAGGUCCCUGUGGGGUCGUCCGAGCGCCUGCAGGCCGUGCGCCUCAAUCCCGUGGUCGCAGCCACCGGCGCCGCCGCGUCCAGCAAGAAGUGGCUCCCGGGAAGCUUCUCGAGCCCCCUCCGCAACGACCAGGAUCUGACAAGUAACAACGGGCUUUGCAUCGCCAGGAUGGGUAUGCCGCUACCGGGGCCGCCGAUGAACGGCACGCCGUUCCCGCAGGACGCCUACUUCGAGAUCACCAUCAUAUAUCUGAACACACGGCGUCCGGAGUGGUCAGCGUCCCGGACGAGCAGGCGUGGGCACGACGGCUCCGGCGACAGCGAACGCAGCAAGCUCAUCAACUUUGCACCGGACACCACCGACCCGAUCCAGGAAACCAGGGCCGCGAAAGAUGACCAGGGAGACAAGCAGAGGCACCUGGUCAUGUCGCUGGGCCUCGCCGCCGGGCCUGCCGCACCGGCACGGCCGUCGUUAGCUGGAACGUACGCGUCGUCCAUCGGCUUCCACUCCAACGGCGCGGUCUACCUCGACGGGAUGAAGCUGGCGUACGAAUCGGAGAAGUCAGCGUGGGCGGGGGUGGACAAGGUCGUGGGAUGCGGCUUCGAGCCGACGAAGCGGAAGGUGUACUUCACGGUGGACGGGCAGCUGGUCCACGCGGUGAGCUGCAACGCCGACGCCUUCUCCAGCCCGCUGUACCCGGUGCUGGCCUCCAGCUUCGACGUGAUGGCGCUGGUGAACCUCGGGCAGAGCAAGUUCCGGUACGCGCCGGCCAACGCGCGGCGCACGGCCAACCCGUGCUUCGUGCGGUCCGCGUCGCUGGGCGAGGGCCGGAGCGGGUCCAUGGGUCUCGACUUCGACGACAGCGGGGACCUCUUCUCCAUGGGCCGCGUCGACUCCGGCUGGACGGAGGCCUCGCGGGUUAGCAAGAGCAGGAAGGAGAGCGGCGGCGGCACGACGGCGGCCGGCGACCUCGAACCCGAGUCUGACCUCUUCGAGAUCUCAUUGUGA